RNAcentral lists this transfer RNA (75 nucleotides) under Urocitellus parryii (Arctic ground squirrel). RNAcentral describes it as "Spermophilus parryii (Arctic ground squirrel) tRNA". It matches the Rfam family "tRNA". From Rfam's summary of the family: Transfer RNA (tRNA) molecules are approximately 80 nucleotides in length. Lineage: Eukaryota; Metazoa; Chordata; Mammalia; Rodentia; Sciuridae. RNAcentral also lists the same sequence under 1 other name. The record is from Rfam by way of RNAcentral.
GGGGAUGUAGCUCAGUUGGUAGAGUGCUUGCUUCACAUGCACCAAAGACCCUGGGUUCAAUCUCCAGCAUCAUUU